AUUGAACGCUGGCGGUAGGCCUAACACAUGCAAGUCGAACGGCAGCACAGUAAGAGCUUGCUCUUACGGGUGGCGAGUGGCGGACGGGUGAUGAAUACAUCGGAAUCUACUUUUUCUUGGGGGAUAACGUAGGGAAACUUACGCUAAUACCGCAUACGACCUACGUGUGAAAGCAGGGGAUCUUCGGACCUUGCGCGAUUGAAUGAGCCGAUGUCGGAUUAGCUAGUUGGCGGGGUAAAGGCCCACCAAGGCGACGAUCCGUAGCUGGUCUGAGAGGAUGAUCAGCCACACUGGAACUGAGACACGGUCCAGACUCCUACGGGAGGCAGCAGUGGGGAAUAUUGGACAAUGGGCGCAAGCCUGAUCCAGCCAUACCGCGUGGGUGAAGAAGGCCUUCGGGUUGUAAAGCCCUUUUGUUGGGAAAGAAAAGCAGCAGGUUAAUACCCCGCUGUUCUGACGGUACCAAAAGAAUAAGCACCGGCUAACUUCGUG
This 492-nucleotide ribosomal RNA is filed under the name uncultured bacterium. RNAcentral describes it as "partial 16S ribosomal RNA". It matches the Rfam family "Bacterial small subunit ribosomal RNA", at positions 30 to 507 of the family's 1533-position model. The record is from RNAcentral.